This 73-nucleotide transfer RNA is filed under the name Phage sp. ctL4h4. RNAcentral describes it as "tRNA-Lys". It matches the Rfam family "tRNA". Rfam says of the family: Transfer RNA (tRNA) molecules are approximately 80 nucleotides in length. Their secondary structure includes four short double-helical elements and three loops (D, anti-codon, and T loops). Further hydrogen bonds mediate the characteristic L-shaped molecular structure. tRNAs have two regions of fundamental functional importance: the anti-codon, which is responsible for specific mRNA codon recognition, and the 3' end, to which the tRNAs corresponding amino acid is attached (by aminoacyl-tRNA synthetases). tRNAs cope with the degeneracy of the genetic code in two manners: having more than one tRNA (with a specific anti-codon) for a particular amino acid; and 'wobble' base-pairing, i.e. permitting non-standard base-pairing at the 3rd anti-codon position. The record is from RNAcentral.
GAAAUAUUAGCUCAGAUGGUAGAGCACAAUACUUUUAAUAUUGGGGUCAUAGGUUCGAGUCCUAUAUGUUUCA